This 253-nucleotide ribosomal RNA is filed under the name uncultured bacterium. Its description in RNAcentral is "partial 16S ribosomal RNA". It matches the Rfam family "Bacterial small subunit ribosomal RNA", at positions 524 to 776 of the family's 1533-position model. The record is from RNAcentral.
UACGUAGGGACCAAGCGUUGUUCGGAUUUACUGGGCGUAAAGGGCGCGUAGGCGGCUUAACAAGUCACUUGUGAAAUCUCCGGGCUUAACUCGGAACGGCCAAGUGAAACUGUCAAGCUAGAGUGCAGAAGGGGCAAUCGGAAUUCUCGGUGUAGCGGUGAAAUGCGCAGAUAUCAGGAGGAACACCGGUGGCGAAGGCGGGUCUCUGGGCCGAUACUGACGCUGAGGAGCGAAAGCGUGGGGAGCAAACAGG